Molecule: long non-coding RNA, 18409 nt
Organism: Monodelphis domestica (gray short-tailed opossum)
Lineage: Eukaryota; Metazoa; Chordata; Mammalia; Didelphimorphia; Didelphidae
Source: RefSeq, a predicted model, not a curated record
UUGUUCUGGUUUCUAUGACCAUUAUCAUCAUUUCUAUGGUUAUUAUUUCUAAAGCUAUUAUUAAGCUGCGUAUUCCUUCCAAUCAUCUUAUGAUAGGUUCUACAUUUCAUCAUUUUGUGGCCCUUCUCACAGAAGUGGCAAGUUACUGAUUUAUUUGUGAAUUCCCGUAAAGGGGCUAUAGUCUCUCCCUUAUUUUUCAAUUGUCUCUUUAACAUUUCAAUUUCAUUCUUUAAACCUUCAGUUGAUAUAUCGUCUUCCUCAGGUCUUUUUAUACGACCUUUAUAAACAUAGGUUGCUACUCUCCUUAGUUCAUCGAGGUCCGUAGAGUCCCAAUUAGGACAGCUAGUUUUAAAGUAGUCCUUUACCGCUGAACAACAAUUCUUAACAAAUUAUCUACGUAGUUGUCUAAUGUCUCUUUCUCAGGAUAAAUCAAGUUCCAUAUAAGUAUUUCCUAUGUCAAUAAGUCUGUCCAUAAACUGGGAGGGUGUUUCAUCAAUAUGUUGUCGGGUUUUUUCAAAUUUUCACCAUUUUUCAGGUCUAUCAGAGCAAACUCUCAUGGCUGUCAAUAAUGCUUCUCUGGCCUGGUUUAUUUUUGUGUAAUCUAGUUCAACAUUGGGGUUCCAAUGUGGAUCUCCAGUUCCCCAAUGACUUCCUUUUUUACCUCGUUUUUGAUUAUCCAGAGAGAUGAUUUUAUUUUUCUCUCUCUUUGUUAAUAAUUCAUCUAAUAUAUUCUCAUCAUCCAACCAAGUGGGGUCAAAAGUUCUGAAUAUGUUCUCUACUUCUUUUAUAAUUAUUAUUGGUUCGUCCUCAAGUGAUGGCAUAUCUUCCUUCAAUUUUUUUAAAUCCUCAGGGGUAAGAGGUGUAUAUGAUGUCUUACAGAUAUCAAGUUUCCAUUUUUAUUAAAAGUGGGUACUUCCCUUAAAGGAAAUAAGCUUUCUAAAUUAUUUGGUACUCCUUUUUCUAGGCUUCUUGAUCCAUUUUCAAUUGGGUAGGUUUGAGAAAUAGAAGAGUUGGGCACAUUAAAAGGAAAGGGUUGUUGUAAUCCCAUAGUGCCAGAAAAUUCAGAGGUAGGGUAUGAAUUUAGGUUGGAAUGUGAACUUAAAGUAGAUUGUGUAGGAUGAGAAGGAGGAGUCAAGAAAGAUGUGUGAAAGGAUACAGAGGUGUUUGGAUUGGAGGAAUCAGUAUCAGAAGUAUGGUUAGGGUGUGUAGUUAGAGUUGAUUGUGUUGGGUUGGGGGCAUGGAUGUGGCGUAAACUUAGAGUUGAUUGAUUAGAAUUAGGGUUUUCUGAGGACAAGGGGGCAGGGGUGGGUUCGUUAGAAGGGUUAUUGUCCAUAGCAAGGUGGGACAGAGAUUCUGAUAUUGUACUAAGAAAAGAACAAAGUAUUUACUGAAACUCCAGUUGUUAACUAAGUUCUGAACUGUCUGUGACUCCAUAUUUCUAAAGUAAAAACGUGGGAAGAAGGACAAGGCCAAAAAGUUUUCCCAGGUUUUUCUAAUCCUAAUUUAGGCAAUUGCUUGCCAGGACCUUAGGGCCCUGUUGCUAAGAUGUAAAACAGCUUAAUUUAAGGAGAAUCAAAAAAGUUUUUUUACUCACCCGUUCUUGCAGCUGUCAAUUGAAGUUAAGUUAAAACAUAAAACAAAACUGACUGAUAGGCAAGUAAUAAAUCAAAACGAUAAAGGAAAGAGAUUUCACAGAAGUCUUUUGAGGGUUUCUCACCAACUUCGUAAGGUCGCCAUAAACUGUUAUAUUUAAAUUAGUCUGAGGGGCUUCAAUUGUUGUAGAUAAAAGAGUGGGAGCCAUAAACUGUAAUAAUUAAAAUGUUUGGGAGACAGGGAAUAUAUAUAACAAUUAUGAAUAUGUUCAAGUCAACUGGGUUUUAUAGAGAACUUUAAUUAAUAAUACAAUGAUUAAUCAAUAGAGAGAGAGAGUAAGAAAAGGAAUAAGUAUGAAAGGCCUUAAGCCAAUAUGGCCUAGACCUGAGUCUUAAGAGAGAAAUCAGUCAGUUUGUUAUAACUCACCACAAGAUCUGUCUAAGUAAGGAUUCUAAUGACACCAGGCCAGCAGCAUCUCAGCUGCUUUCACCAGCUCCCUCCUCCAUCUGAAUGUUUCAGAAUCAGCCUCCUCAGAAUGAGUCUCUCCAAUCUGAAUGUUUCAGGAUGAGAUUCAGCUCUUCUCUGAGCUCUUAUUUUUAAGGGCAAAAUCUCCUACAUCACCUCCCCAGAUGUUUUCCAAAGGACAACCCCUUCUGAAUUCACAGCUGAGUAGAUUUAUCUCUUUAGUAAGUCAGAAAAAAAUGCUGCUGUGUCAACUAAUUUCAUCAAGAGGAAACCUCUCAAUAAGUUUUCACCUUUUAGGUUUAAGUAAGUUUACAAGUUGCCCCACCUUUUUAGGUAUUUAGUAUCCCAUUGUAUCAAUUCUAAAAACAGUCAUGACUCAAAGAACUUCCUGUCCCUUCCAUAAGCAUGGAUCAAAGUACUUUCAUUGUUUAGCAAGCCAUUUUCUGUCCUAAAGCAGUCUUAAGUAGGGUGGAGUAGGAACACUCCCAUAGCUAGGAGCCCCCACACUCAAGUAGAAUUCUCACCAUCUGCUAGGGAAUUUUUUUAAGUAGAAGAUUCCUCAAUGGGGGAAACCCCUAACAUUCAUAAGUCUGAGAAAUUUUAAGGUUUACAGUGGAUACAAGGUAGUCCUAUGACUUAACAUAUGUCAAGCAUUGCAACCUCAAGUCUCACUAGGUUCAAGUCCUUUUUUAAUGGCUUAGAACUGCAUUAAUCCUACCUGGAUAGAUUUCCUUCUUUUUUGACCCUUGUGAUCAUUUUGGCACCAUUCAGGCACUCUUUGGAACUGUUCUCCUUGUUUUUAUCCCAUUUUCUUGAAUCAGAUACAAUCAUUAAUCCCAGUCCCAUACUAUUUUAUCAAUAAAUAGCAAAAUACAGGAAUUCAACAUGUUCCCCAAAACAGUAUCCACUUGUCUAUGGAUUAUUAUCUCCAAUGUAUGUGAUAGGAUACAGUCAGCCUCAGCAGAAGAUGUUCUCUUUACAUGUGAGCAAUGAAUCCAAGAGUCCUCUCCAAUCUUUAUAGAUGUUGGAGUAGUUAACAAUAUUAGGACUGACCCUUCCCAGGAAGGCUGAGUUGUUCCAGUAUGCUGGAAAUUCUUAAUAUACACCUUGUCUCCUGGGCUCAGGUCAUGAAGUGAAAAGUCUGGCUUGUACUCAAACUCCGGAUUAAUGGAGUUCACGCAAUUUGUGCUGUAAUUCCUGUAUGUAGGAAGCAAUAGUAGUGUUUCCCCUAACCGUGAUGUAUAUGCAGGGCAGAUAUGUGGAUGUCCAAAAAGCAUCUGAAAUGGUGAGAUGUGUAGGUCUCCUCUAUGCCUGCUUGAAUGAUAAAAUAGGAACAGAGGGAGAACUUAAAGCCAUUUUAAAUGUGUCUCGGUGCUGUAAAAGAUUUGAACCCCAUACUUCAAUCUCCAGAAGUCCUUCCCAGAAUCCCCUAUAAUCUCACCUGAGUGAGAGAACACAAUUUUUAUUUAAAGGGCUCUCAGCCUCCCAAGGCUCUGAUCUUCUGCUUCCAAGCACACUCGUGUCUCUACCUGGCAGGCAAGAUGUAAGUGUCUGUGAAUGGGCUAUUCAGCCCUGGUCACAUGCUUUUCUUAUUUCCUUGAUUUCUAAUAAUAUUAACAAACCUUAAUUAUACUGUUCGGUUGUUCCCACGUGUGAAUGAUGCCAUAUGAUCAAAUGAUCAAAAAGAGACCUUGAUGCUGACCAUUGUGUUUCCCUGCCGCCUAAUCUAUCAAUGGGUGGAGUGUGGCCCAAAACACAGUCUCGUCCUUGCAGAGGAAGUGAGAUGCGUGGGCCCAUGUCCCUUGCUGAUGGGAACAUUUCAAUAUUGGGCAUCCCAUUACAAAGGUUUUGUUAAAAAAAAAAAAGCUGACCCACCCUGAAAUCCUGCCUGACCUCUACUGCAUAGCCCACUAACAUUCUGCUACCUCGAUGUGGUUUUAUUUUCUUGGCCCUGAGUUUUGCCUUGCUAAUCUGAGUAAAACCUGAAAAAGAAUGAAUUUGAAAAAAAAUAAAUAUGUAAAAGCAUGGAAAUAUCUAUAUGUACUGAUACAGACUGAGUUAAGUAGAGCCAAGAAAUAAUAUUUACAGUAAUAACAAUGUUAAAUGCAAAGAACAGUGCAUCCUUUCCAAAAUCAAAUGUAGAUGUGCCAAAUUUAUACAGAUCAGGAAGGCCUCCAAAUGAAGUACUGUAAAAUUUAAAUGUAUAUCUCUAAUAAUGAAAAUAUAUUUUUUGAGAUAUAUUAAGGAUCAUUAGAAAUCAAGGAAUAAAGAGGAUACAAAUUAAAACUACAUGCUCAUGACUGGUUAGCCAUUUCAAAUUUUCCCUGCCUUACCACCAUCACUGCUCAUGGUACAUCAGGCAAGAAGAAAGAGAGGGUGGGAGGAGUUACUGCCAGUUAAAUACCAAUAACAUGAUCUCGUCAAUAUGGAGACACAGGAGAGAUUAUUGGGAAUUCUGGGAAAUACCAAGGAUUUCUGGGGAAUGAAGUCUAGGGAUCAAAGGAAAAAAAGGAGCACAGACUUAACCUGAAUAGCACCAAAAAGAGCACAGAGAUCAGAAGGACCAAAUCAAUUCAUGUAGGAUUGAUGAACUUCUAAGCCAAUAUGAAAGGACUUGUACCUAGUGUGAGAUUCGAGGUUGUGCCUCCACAAACCACAUACUGCACCAGAAGAUCCAGAGUGAACUUUGGGAUGUGGUGAUCUGAACUGUGUGCCGUUAAAUGCAUUUGUUUUUGUAUUUGUUUUGUAUUUGAACUUCACUUCAUCACUUAGGAUACUUUUGAUUACCUCUAUCAAAAGUAUCCGAAAGUGUCCAAACAGUUUUGAAAAGUUUUGAACCUAUAUUGGAACAGUUUUUCCAUCUAAAUAUUUUAUUUUUAUAACUCGUCAAUUUAUUUUUAUGUUCCCCAGGCUCAAGUGCCCUGGGGAACACUCGAGUCUCUCUAGGGCCCCUGCCCUCCCUGCCAGGAGUUCUGUUGGACCGUGUGGCUUCCCAACCCCUCCCAUGGCUCCCCUUCCCUUGGCUUCCCUGCUCCCCUUUCUGGCAGAGCCCUCAGGCCCCUUCCAUGUCAGGGGGGUUUCAAUUCUGCCUUGUUAAGUGUAAAUUUAGGGUUGUUGAUUGAAUAUAUUAUACUAGUGGUCACCAGGGCUUAAAAUUCAAUCCCAGUAAAACACUUCAGUCAGAUUGAGAUUUUCAUGGUAGUUUCAUUACAAUAAAAGGAAGAAAUUAAGAAGAAGAGAGAGAGAGAGAGGAAAGGGAAUUGGAUUGCUCAGGCAAGCCAGACUAGAAUUGGAGUUCAAGGGAAGGAGGAAUCAGUAACCUCACCAAAGUCAAUCAGGGAAGAUGUCUCACCUAAUACACGCUAAAGAGCUUUUCCCAGUCACCUCACUGGCAAGCCACAUACAAAAAAUCCCCACCAGCAGUUCCUAAGCAAUAGCGAGAACUCAGCUAGAGGAAGUGUGGAACUGUCGUCUUGUUAUACACCAGAGAAUCCACACUGGGGAGAAACCUUAUGAAUGUAAGCAAUGUGGAAAGGCAUUCUGUAUUAGAUCAAGUCUUGUUGAACAUCAGAGAAUCCACACGGGGGAGAAGCCUUAUGAAUGCAAGCAAUGUGGAAAGGCAUUUAGUAUGAGGUCCAGUCUUGUUGCACAUCAGAGAAUCCACACGGGGGAUAACCUCAUGAAUGUAUGCAAUGUGGAAAGGCAUUCAUUAAAAAUUCUUAUCUUGUUAUACAUCAUAGAAUCCACACAGGGGAGAAACCUUAUGAAUGCAAGCAAUGUGGAAAGACAUUCACUACGAACUCUUGUCUUGCUAGACAUCAGGGAAUCCACACUGGGAAGAAACCUUAUGAAUGCAAGCAAUGUGGAAAGGCAUUUACUAUAAGGUCCAGUCUUGUGAGACAUCAGAGAACCCACAUGGCCUAGAAACCUUAUGAAUGUAAGCAAUGCGAAAAGGCAUUCAAUAUAAGUUCCCAUCUUGCUAGAUAUCAGAGGAUCCACAUUGGGGAAAAAUCAUAUGAUUCCAAGGGAUGUGGAAAGACAUUCAUUAGGAGCUCGCAAGUUAUUGUACAUCAUAGAAUUGUAACUGUGAAAAUGUGGGUUUCAAGACUGAAUUGCCAAAACUGUAAAGGUUUCGGCCAAACUGUAAAGAUAAUUUUUAGUGUCUUGAUUUAAGCAAAAAAUAAGUGGUCGCUAUGGGGAAAAUCCCAAAUAUGAAAAUAAUCCUAGUCAGCUGGGUUUUAUGAAGAUUUUUAUUAAUACAAAUGAACGAAUUGAGGGAAGAGAGAGUGUAACAGAAAAUAGUAGGAAGGGUCUGAGACAUAGGCCUGAGCCUUAAGAGAUACUAGUCAGUGUUUAUCACUCACCACAAGAUCAUCCCAAGGAAAACUCCAGUCCUUCACUGUAAUCCUCAACUCCUGAACUGAGUUCAGAUUCUCAGCUCCUCCAAACUAACUCCAAAGUCCAAGCCUUUCCUCUGAACUCCUGCCCUCCGUUUAAAGAGAAUCUUCUAUUAUGUCACCUCCCCCAAAUUUUCACAGCUACCAAUCAUAGUAGACUCUUUUUACCAGGACAUUCCAUCUUUAGUUCACAUCUAUGUUUUGCUAUCACCUUCUCUGAUUAGAUUAUAUCUUCUGAAUAUUUCACAUCUCUGCCCUUUGUAAGUUGCUUCAAUUUUUAGUGAUUAAUUUAAUCUUUAUAGGUAUCUAUCAGCUUUUUGUAUUAGAUCUAGAAAUAGACCACCUAGCUUAAGGUUUUUGAUUCACUAUAAGUAUGAGUUGGGGACUUUUCAUUAUUCCAUUAGGAAUUUGUAAAUUUAUCUUGUCCUAAGGCUCUGUCUGAGCAGGGUGGAGUAAUUUUAAAGUUCUCAAUACAUUCCUGGCCAAGUACCUCCAUUGUUAUGUGGGGAAUAGCUUAAUCAAAUCUUCUAAGUUAUAGUCUGAGCAAUUUUAAGAUUCACAAUCACCCUGAUGAUCAUUGGGAGACUAGUCUCCCCAUUGAUCAUUUAACGUAAUCGUCUUGUAGUCCUAAGUUACUUCUAACUACAAAUGUAUACAAUGUUCAAUUUUCCAAGAGGAAAUUACACUUGUUAGGGAGGAAUAGAAAAGAAAGAAAGCAAAACCAAUGUUUUGCUAGGUGCAUUGACAGAAAGCCUAAUUAGGGGCAGUCUCCUUUGCAUAAAACCAUACAUUUACAAUGAAUAUUCAAUUAAACUUCAGAUCAAACAACCAUAUCCAAAGUUCUUUCUGGAUUUUCUUGAUGUAGCAUGGGUUUUCUGGUAUCUUUCUGCAACAGUUCAUUCUCUGGAUUUAGGAGUUAGCAAGCUUCUUCCUUGAAGAUCUUUUGUUGAAUAAAAAAAUAAAAAAUCUUGGAUUUUUAGUAACAUGCAAUGCCCCCUGAUGUGGGUGUUAAAAAACGACCGAUUCAGCUCUGGAUUCAAUGUUGAGUUAUGGGGGUGUAUGACUCAAUUAUCAAAAGAAGAGAAGAAUACAACUGAAAAUAUGAGGGGAAAAAAUUCAAAAUAGGCCCUUGUAUAGGUUAAAUUUAAAGUAAUUUCUAUCCCACAGGUCUGUAGGACAGAAUGCAGUAAUAUUUCACUUAUCCAUUUGCAGCCAAGACUACAGGAAGUUGCCAUAGAAGAAGAAGAAAAAGGAACUAGAAUUCUUAUUUUAUAGGGAAGUGUUCCUUCAUUUGAUUUUUGACAUUCUUAGGGAUAUAGGAAGCCAGGAUGAUAGUCAAACUUUGACUGUUUGACUAAACAAAUGAGUAUUUCACAAAAUGUGUAGAUACAAGGAAGUCAUUUGACUUAAUAUGUCAAGCGUCACAACCUCAAGUCCACAUUAGUUUUUCCCUGUUUGCUCUUUUUGGCACUAUUCAGGUUAAGUCUGUGCUCCUUCUUUUUAUCUCUUUUUCUGGAAUCAGAUACAAACAUUAAUCACAGUCCCAUAAUAUUUCAUCAAUAAAUGGCAGGUUCCCAUAGUUUAAAACUUUUGGGUAUAGCGAGUAUAUAUAUGAAUUAAACUUGUAUUAGUGCAAAAAAAAUAUCAAUUAUGUGUACCUUUAGUACAAGAAACAAGAGAAAAAUCAAUUAUUCUAAUCAAAAUAAAGGGUUUAGGCUCUAAUUUGAGGAGUGUUUAGUAAUUUCCCCAUAACAAGGAAUCCAUUGUCUGCAAAUCCCUGUUGCUCCUAAAAUUGCUCUCAACUGUUUCUUAGUGGUAGGAGUGCUUAAAGUUUGAAUAUUUUCAAUUCGUAUUGGAGAAAUAUAGCAAGCAAGAAGAACCCCAAAUAUUCUACUUUAGGGAGAUACCACUGAAGCUCAUCCUUUGAGAUUUUAAGUCCUCUUUUGUGCAAUUCCAGAGAAGGUGUUUGCUAUCUUCCUGACAUGCUUUUGUGUCUGUUGAAGCCAAUAGUAGAUCAUCCACAUAUUUGGUUAAUUUGCUAUUUUUUAAUGUUCUAUUAUCUGUAUCUUGGCUCAAGAUUUGUGCAAAUAAACUCGGGCUUUUUACAUAAGCCUGAGGCAUAUGCAAUUUUAAGAAUCACAGGAUCCACACUGGGGAGAAACCUUAUGAAUACAAUCAAUGUGGAAAGGGAUUCAGUAUGAGCUCUAGUCUUGCUAGAUGUUAGAGAAUCCACAUUGGGUAGAGACCUUAUAAAUGGAAAGAAUGUGGAAAGAAAUUCAGUUGGAACUCCCAUCUUGCUGUACUUCAGAAAACCUACACUGGAUAGAACCAUAAAAAUAAAAGCUAUGUGGAAGGAUCUUCAUAUUUGGUAAUUCAGUACCUGUCUUGUUGUGUGAAGGAAAUUUUCUCUCCCCACCUUUCUAGGGCAGCAUUGUGUAAAUAGAAAUCUGUAACCCUAAAAUCUGAUUCUUAGCACCAAACUCUCAUCCUCUUUUUAUGUGCUGACAUAAUCAGAGUAUGAAUUUGGUGGAGCCCUGCCUCUUGGUCUCUUCUCUUCCUGUGAUGGCAGAUGGGAACAUGGGGAUUUUGAACAGUUUGGAAUAUAGUCAUGUUGUUAUAUUUUGUUAGAUAACAAACUGAAAUGACCAUAAUUGAGGUAUUAGAUAUUAAUAAUCUUAUAAUGAUCUGCAAACAUAAUAUAUAUGAGGAUAUAGGCACUGAAUAAUUUUUAUAAAGCAAACUUAUUUGACUAUGAACUCAAAACUAAUGAUUAUGUUAUAAAAAUCAUCACAAAGGCUAAUACUAUUACAAUCAUAAAAUAGGGGUUUCACACUUUCACAUACAAUGUCAAAUACAAUUAUCCUGAUAGAAGAGAUAUGAAUUGAAGUACUACAUUAUAACUGAUUUUAAGACAGUUCUGUCAAAUAUAUUCAUCCAUAUAAAUUGUAACCUACAGAAUCUUUUCUGAAGAGACAUUUGCUGUCAGCAUUUCAAAUAGUAGGGACCUCUACUUUCAAAUUAGUCUGCUUCUCAGGGUUUAUGUCUAUCUACCUGAUCAGUAGGAGGGUCUGAGCCCUGGGCAUGAAGGAGGAAAAGAGGAAGGUAUUGAAGAGAUGGGGAAAGUGGUAAUGGCCCAGGUAGAAUUCAGGCUCUGAGGUAGAAUUUGAAGGCCUGAGGAAGAACAGGAUUUAGGACUCACAAGGAAAGCUCUAAGAAUUUUAGAGACCAAGAGAAACUCCUUAGAAAGUGUGAUGCUACCUGAGAAGACUGAAUCGAAGAGGUUAAGGUGAGCACAGAGUUCAUAUUCCAAGCAGUGGAAACAACUAAGGGAAAGGCAACAUGAUAAGAUGAAGGGUCCUGAUCAAGAAUCAUUCAGGAGGCCAGUAUCACUGGGUCAGAGACAGAAUAGAGAGGAGUUCUUGUGAGAGAAACACACCCAAGUUUGUAGAAGUAUCUUAGGCCAAGAAUGGGAGACUCAAAUUCCAUUCAAUUUGAAAGAAAAUGAUUUUAUUUGAAGGAGUAGUUUGUGGUUGUGUAAUAACUUUUGGAAUAGUCUUGAGGCUAAUCACGUAGCCACAGGGAUGAUAGACAAGUACAAGGGCUAGUAGAACUUUUAAAAAACUGCAGAGUAAGAGAUAUGUAUGUCUGAUCUUCCUCAUUGGAAUCUGUCCUACUCUACCCUACACAAUUUUCCCUUCUUACUCAAUGCAUCCACUCUUGCCCAACUUAUCCCUCUUCCCACCCCUGCUGUCUCCUGUUCUUCCUCUUCUGCCUCAGCCCCUCCCACCCUAACCUAUUCAUCCCUCCUCCUGAUCCUACCAUUCAUUGUUCUACCACUCCCUGCCCAUAGUCCCACCCCCUCAGCCCCAUCCCUUUUCAUACCUACCCCACUGAAAUCCAAGCAUGGAGCCUAGAGGCAGGAACACAAAAUGAUUCAGUUAAAAGCUUCUUCCUCUUAAAAGAAGUACCCACCUUAAUAAAGGCCUAAGUUUGAUGGCUUUAAGACCACUCACUCAUCAUCCCCCCCCCCCAUGAUCUAAGUUGAUUCAGAGAAGACACCCCUUUUUCAAAAAAGAACCAAUCAUAAUUAUAAGAAAAAAUGGAGAUCAUAUUCAAAACAUUUGACCCCAAUUGAGUGGAUAAUGAAAUUUUAUUAGAUUUUUUUUUGCCAAAGAGAAAAAUAAAACCUCUCUUGCUUAGAAUGAGCAAGGUAGAAGAGCUACUCAUUGACAGAUUCAGGAUCCAAAAAGGAGCCCCAAUAUUGAGAGAAAUUAUACAAAACUAUGCCAGGCGAGAGAAACACUACUGACAGCCAUGAGAGCUUGCUCUGAUAGGCCAUAUACAUGGUCAAAAUUCAAAAGGACUAAACAAAAAAUCAAUGAAAACUGCUCCCAGUUUAUGGACAGAUACGUAGAUCUGGGAAAUAGAUAUAUUCACCUUGCUUUGUCCAGAGAAUAGGAUAUUAGACAAAUUCAUUGAGAAUUGUUGUAAAACGACCAAAGACUUCUUUAAGACUAGCUGCCUGAAUUGAGACUUGUGGAUCUCAAGGAGUUGACAAGGGUAGCUGUCUAUGUUUUUAAGGGCCAUGCAUAAAAACAUAAGGAGAAUAAUGAAUCAAUGGCCGCCUUAAAGAAAGAAAAUAAAAUUUUAAGAGAAAAACUGGAAAAUCGGGAGUAACUAGCCCCUAUGCAGGAAUUCACAAAUAAACAACCAAAAUGUUAUGUAAGGGAAAAGGCCACUUAAUGUUGCAGAAACUGGAAUCAGGUAUUCAAUAACACAUAAUUUAAGUAUAAUGGUAAUUUUAGAAAUAACAUUACAAAAACAAAAAUAUAAUAAUAAUACUUAUGGAAACAAUACUCCAAAUGAGAAAUAAUAACACAUCAAAAUACCCAACAACACUAUAUCUAAAUUUAAAGUAUCCCCAAGGUAAAAAUCCACCCCAUAGUGGGGUAACCCGGAAAAAUGCACAAGCAUCUUUAUAAUGGUACACAGGGGGAGGAAGGGCCUUGGAAUCAAAGAUAGAAACUUGAUUUUCCAGACCCUGAUGUUUUAAUGCCAAUUAAUCCUAUACAUUCCCCCCCCACACACACACACACAUCUUAAUGAAAUGCAUGUAACCCAAAAAGUGGGAAAUUAAUAUUUUAUCUGUCUUUUUAGAUACUGGAGCAUCCAGAUGUGGUGAGUAAACCAGAUACAAAAAGCAACUCUUGGCUCUCUAUAGUAGAUUUCUCAGGAACUCCUUAAAAGGUCCCCAAAUGUUCUCCUCAAAUGGUAUCUGUGGCACACUUAUCUGUAGAACAUUCUUCUCUUUUAGUUCUUGGGGCCCCAAGAAUCCUAUUGGGAAGGGACCUAUUACGUAAACUUAAAGCCACAAUAAUUUGCUCACACAAUGUCAUUAUGACAUUAGAAGUGCCUGGGGAAUCUUUAAAUUUGUUCCCUGUAUUUCCCUCAGAGAGGUAGGAGGUGAAAGAACCUCCCACUUUUCAAAUAACAGCCGAUAUACUUGAGUCUCUGGGCCACAUCUUCCUCUGAUGUUUAAACAACAUUUAAAUCAGCUGUUCCUGUUCAAAUUAAGACAAGAGGUGGGCCAGCUUCCUCCAUUCCUUAGUACACCCUAUCAAAAGAGUUAAUUGAGGGAAUAACCCUAGUAAUAAAUUCAUUAAUUGAGCAAGGAAUAAUUCUUUGUAAAUCAGAACAUAAUAUACCUAUUUUACCCGUGAAAAGCCAAAAUCAGGCCCAGAUGGUAAAGUAGUAUAUUGAUACAUCCAAGAUUUAAGGGUUGUAAAUAAUCAUGUUGUAGAAAGACAUCCUGUGAUAUCAAAUGCAAACACAAUAAUUUCCGUUAUUCCAAGUAUAGCCACUUACUUUACUGUAGUGGAUUUGUGGACAGCUUUUUUUUUGGGGGGUGGGGAAUCUUAUUAAUGAAGAUUCCAGGAAUAUAUUUGCCUUUAUCUGUAAAGGUUCCCAGUGGUCCUGUUGUCAUUACCACAAGAGUAUAUGGAAAGCCCUACCCUGUUUGUACGAAUUUUAAGCUAAGAUACAGAAAAUAUAAAAUUUAAAAUUAAGUUAAUUAAACAUGUGUAUGAUUUACUCUUCAUCUCACCAAAUGCCACAGCAUGUCAAGUAGUAGUAAACAUCUUUUAGAACUACAUAAAAGAGGUCACAAGGUCUCAAAGGCAAAAGUUCAUUGUUAUCUCCACAAAGUAGAAUAUUUAAGGUUCAUUUCAACUGCUGGUGCCCAUUCUAUUUCUCCUCAUUGCAUUGAAAAUAUUCAAAAAUUUAGGGCUUCUACCACUAAGUACUAUUAAAAAAGGAAUCUUAGGAACAACAGGUUUUUGUAUACAGUGGAUUCCUUGCUAUAGGGAAAUCACUAAACCCCUUAUAUAUAGCACUAGCAAAGCAUUUAGUCUGAACCACUCAAAGCCAGAACACCUGUCAGCUCUGUCAAAUUUAAAACAGGCUAUCCUGUCUGCCCCUGCUCUAGGCAUCCCAGAUUAUAAAUACAUUUACUUUUCUUAAAGGUAAAAUUAGGCUUGAUGACUGAAUAUAUUAUGUUAGUGGUCACCAGGGAUUUAAAUUCAAUACCAAUGAAAUACUAAAGUAAGUUUGGGGUUUUUAUGGUAGUUUAAUUACAAUAGUAGGAAGCAUUUAAGAAGAAGAGAGGAAAAUGAAUUGGAAUGCUCUGGUGAUCCAGGUAGUUCAGAGGCCUACUCCAAGGAGCCUUCUCAAUCUAGCUCAGCUUCCAGCCAUGAGGUCUCUUCUGAGAUGAUGGGCCUCCUUGCAGAUAGUGCUUUUAGGGGGUCAAGGAAAGGAGGAAUAAGUCUUAUCACUCACAAAGGUUGCUCAGGGAAGACACCUCUCCUAAACCACAUUUCAAAGCUUCUCCUGGUAACCUCACUGCCUACACAAAAACACCAAAUGCUGUCAAGAGCUGCCAACACCUCUGAGUGAGCGCUCACAGAAAGUGAUGCGAAAUAUAUAGGCAGUUCUUUUCAUGACUUCUUGCAUCUCACAUGUACCAAUGGUAGCUAAAGCUUGGCUUAGGUCAGCCCAGGGGGUGGGUCAGUUGUUUCUGAUUUGUCACUUUCUAGCACAUGUCAGUGACAAACCAUCCCCCCCAAACAGUUAAUCCUUAAGUGGGGGUGUAUACAUUCCUGGUUGCUAGAAUUCUAAAGACUAAGCAGGGUGGGUUGAAUCUAAAAUUCAUACUUUGUACAUAUAUGAGCAGAGAGGGGUGGCUUCCGGCAUUUUAACCCAAACUUUGUGACCAAUUCAGCAUCUGGUUGUUUAUUAUUUGGCCCAUCUGGACCCAGUAGCUUCAGAAGCACCACCAUGCUUUAGAGGCAUAGCUGCCACAGCUUUAUUACUAACAAAAGCUGCCUAUCUAGUAUUGGAAUCCCAUUACCAAUUUUGUACCCACAUGAGGUAGAAGCAUUGUUGCUAAGGCAUAAACACAGGCAUUUUCAGAUCAAAGACUCACAAGAUAUGAUGUAACCUUGUUGGGCAACAAAAAUACCACUUUAAAAUGUAGUACAACUCUUAACUUUGCUUCCUGAUUUGCCAGUUUCAGGAGAACCAUUACAUAGCUGUGAAUCUUAAGUGUCCAUGGCUGAAAAACCUCGAGAGAAUCUCAUGGACACUUCUGUAGACAAACCAGAUCUAGUCUUAUUCACCAAUGGUUUAUAAUGACCUGCUCCUGGCCUGGGGCUCUUGAGGAUUUUCUCUAUAAUAUUCUGGUACUUUUUCUUCGUGUUCAUCUUCCAAAAUCAGUGACACAAUUUUCCCCAUUUUACAGAUCAGAAAAUAGAUUCCAUUAAGUGGCUUGUUCUGAGGAACCGACAUAGGAGCUGUUCUUAAUGAAAUGUAAAUCGACGCCUUCCUGCCUCUAAUCCCUGGCCCCUGCCCCCUCCCCUUAUGGCUGCCUCUCAUUUCCUGGCAAUGGAAAACUGGUCUGAAUCCAGCUUCCUCUGAAGAAAAUGGCCUAAAACCUAUCAUUCUGGUUCCAGAUUGGUUCCCUGAACUGCUCUCCCUCUCUUCCCACCCUAAAUGCUGGGGAGACUAUCCUCCAGGAGUCCCCACAAGCCUCCCAUAGUCCCUUGCCCUCCUCUGUGAUUGUCAAGAUGAAUGGCCUGGCUGAGAGAUAGCAUUGGACCCAAUGAGGAUUGCUGAGUUUUCUAGGAUAGGAGGCAGAGACACCCCAAGAGAAGAGUCUCUAAGCCUCUGAAAGGUGUCAGGGAGGGAGAAACAGGCAGGGUAAUGGGCCAAAGGCAAUCCCUUGAGAUCCCUGCUUUUUGGGCUUCAGACUGAUGCAGAACACUGACCCUUGGACCCAGUUUAGAAGUUUAGCAAUUUCUCCAAGAAUGGACCAGAACCAGGCUGUUGCUCACUCCAGAUCCCCCAGCAGGGUCACAGGCAAAUCCUGCCCUGGGUGCCUGCAUUACAGACACUGAGGGGCAAGGGUAGACUCCUGGGGAAACCCCAUGGACAGAGUCUCUGAGUGGAGUCACUGGACUCCCCAACCUUUCCCUCAAGAGAACUCAGUGAUAAGCUUCUCUCUAUUCUCCUCCCUGACUGAUUCUCCUUUACCCAGGGUAUCCAUCUCCUCCAGAAGAUCUGAUCUCUUCUUUGGAGCAGAAGGCCUGAGGAGCUACUGCCCAGGUAUGGGAAGGGAAAAUAGGUGUGGGAGAGCCAGGGUGACCAGAGGCUUCUGUGUGCUCUGGUGAAGCCAGGGCUAUAUUUGGAGAUAGGACGACCUGAUUGGAAUUUUCAGAGGUCUUAGCAAGGGCUCCCUGGGCAAGUCACUGAAUCCCUGAGCCUCAGUUUCCCUAUCUCUAUGAUGAGGCUGUUGGAUUCCAUUUCCUAUCAGCUCCCUUCAGUGUUUGGGACUGAAGGGCUUGGAAGUCUCUUGCAGGGGCCAGCAGGGCUGAACUUAUCCCCUCUAAACUCUUUAGUAUCCAGAAUCACUUAUGAGUACUUGCUGUAUGCUGGGUCCUGGGCUAUGUUAUAGGGGACAUCAAGGGCUGCUGUGGACAUCCCCUGCUCUCAGGGAGCUCACCCUCUGCUGGAGCAGAUAGCAGCAUGCAGACAGUUCUGUAGAAGCCUUCUAGAUCUCAGCUCCAGGGCAACCAAUCCCAAGAGGGAAAGCUCUGAAGGGAAGGAGCACUAGAGAGGUCUAAUGUGGGGAAAGGGUCCUGAGGGUUCAGGAGAUCCAGACUGAGGAUUCUGGGGGUAUGUAUAACAGAGAAAACAAGGGAAAGUCACCUGCACAACUCAUUGCAAAUGGCCAUGUCUAGCAGUUUAGCUAUGAAUCCAAAGACAGAUGUUGGAUAGUACCUCAUGGGAAGGAAGAGAUCGCGUGAGAGUGUUUGGAGCAUUUGAGAGAAAUGGUUUAUUGGUUCCCAGAAGAAGAGAGUCAUUAGCUCAAAAGCUCACAAGUCAUUAGCUCACAACGUGAGGGAAAGACUAAAGAUGAAAGAACAAUGAGGACCCUGCAGGGAGAAAUGGAGGGGCUUAGAUGAGGGAUGGGAUGGACUUCUUUGCUAUGGAAAGAAUUUUCUUUAGCUAGGAGAAGAAGGACCUUUUUCUCUGAUCUUGAGUCCAGAGAGGAAAAGGAGGCAACUGAGCUAGGUGAGAGAUGGAGGAAAGAGAGCUCUGCAGAGAAAUCCAGCAUUUGUUCAAUGAAAAAUGAGGCCAAGUUCUCAGCUCGGAAGGUGAGGCAGGGGAUACGAGGAAGCCAUGAGGUAGAGCUGGAGGCCAUGGAAAUAUUUGGAAAAGCUGCUGUGGUGGGCGGCAAAGGGAAUCCGUGAGAGGGAUGUCAUAGGAUUGCCUUGCCAUGGUGAGUACCCAGCUGAGGUCAGGAAGCCUCAAUGUAGAGUGCAGCCAGGCAGCUGGAUUCUUGAUUUUCCUUCUCUCCACUGACCUGAAGCCUAUGAGCAGGAAUGAAGACUGCUGCUUUCCUUAGAAUUAAUCCAAGGCUAAACUUUCCCUAAAUCAUUAGCUCCAGCCCUUUCCUGGUCUCUGGAGUUCAGUCUUUGUCCUGUUGUUGCACAAUCAGGUGACCACAGCACCUCACUUUUGGGAUAUGAGAGCCUAGAGAGAAGCCUCUGGGAUCUCCAGGUCUGGGUCUGCUCUAUUUCCAAUGGAGUUUUUGUUCACUAUUGAGAAAUAAGGGCAACAGAGAGACAGAAACACCGCUGAGGCCAGAGCAUGCUUUUUGCCUUCCUAGAGAGAACAGAAUGCAAGGAUCCUAGUAGAGUUUGGGCCUGACAUAAGCCCUGGGACCAGUCAGUGAAUAUGUAUUAAAUAAUAAAUAUGUCGUUUGACCUGUGCUAAGCGCUAAGGAUACAAAGGAAGGGAAACAUCAGUCUGGGCAGUCCUGGAUCUCACAAUCUAGAAUCCAGACAUUGAGGUGCUUUAGAAAGAAGCAACAGAUCCUGAAUCUCACUCUGAGAUGAUCCAGGGGUAAAGGAGUGUUGGGGAAUGGAAAUGUAUUUAAUUCAACAAGGAAAUCAGGAACUAACAGAGUGAAGAGAAUAACAGUUUAAGGAGAAAAGUCAUCAAAGGAGGAAAUAAUCUAAAUUCUAGAGAUAAAAAUAAAUAUCACUCUCAGCAGUUGAUAACUUGGAGUCCAUCUAAGAUAAAGGUCUGAGUGCCCUCUGUCAAGAGGUCAAUAACUCAGAGUCUGAACUCUCCCUCCCCUUCUUUAGGCCUCUCCUAGUAAUACAUGUUUUUGCUGGCAAAGAUAUUAUGAGGGAGGAAAUGGGUUAUUUUAAAUUAAUUCAAAAGAGAUUUUAUUUACAAUUUAUUUAUAAAACGUAUAAAGAGUGAAGUAAGAAAUCAGAGAGAGGAUGAGGUAAGAUAGGUAGCCCAAGCACUAAGUAAUUUAUCUCUGCCCCCUGCCUAGAGAUGCAUCCCUCUGUUCAUCUUAAAUCUAAAGGAGGAUCAAAGGAGCACAAUCAUCUCAGGGUCCUAUAGGGUCAUUAGAUGUUUUUAGGUUAGGAGUAACAAGGAUGUAAGGGAUCAAACGAAUUUCCCUGACAAUAGUUUGCCUGAGUUUCUGGGGGUACAAUGCCCAUGUCAUCUGCCCCCUCUCCAAAUAUGUAAGGGAAUAGGGGUGAUGGUCUCAGUGUUCUGUAGCUUCUUCAGAGCUGAGAAUGGUUGUAGAGCUGUCCCUACCUGUUGUGAGGAGAGAGAGAGCUAUUGGCUGUAGGCAAUAUCCAGGGCUUCAGGCUGGAAUGGUUGCCAAGGUUACAGUGGCAUCUGGCUGACUCCCAUGAGUGCUUCUACCCUAGAAGCAACUAGAGAAGUGACAAGGUUACAAAUGCAAGGUCCACAUAUCCCACAGGGGAGUAGCCAAAACUUUUACAGCGAGGGAAACUCUGUGGAUACAGGGUCUUCAGGGGUGUGUCCUCAGUGAAUGCCUGGGUCCUAGGUAGAUGAGGACCUACUUGGAGAUCUGAAUGAUGUCCAGUGACUGCUUCCCCUGUUUGUCAGACAGGUCACAAGGGGGAGAGUCAGUCCCUGAGUUAGAAGUGUACAAAUCAGGACUGGGGAAAAAACUAGAACACCAGAUAGAAACAGAGAAAAUUGGUACAAUAGUAAUUGAUAUUAGACUUUUACAUUUGGGUAUCUUAGCCAACAGACUCCAUCUUCAGAAAUCAUCUUCUGACAGGAAUAGAUCCCUUUAGAAAAUCAAAUUCCUGAGUUGUUUGAAGAGUUGGUAUGUCAUGUUUCUGUUAAAGAAUAUCACUUUGCAAAGUACACAUUAACUAUAAACAUCUAUAAACACUUGAGUAAAAAAAUAUUUUACAGAUGAAUUUCUUUACCCCAGAUUCUGGAGGAAAUUCAAGAAAGUUUUGAGCUAUAUUUCCUAGCUCAAGAUCCAAACUUCAACUGUGGUCAAUUAAGGCUACAAAUACAAGCCAUCUAUGAAUAAACUUCACCUACUUCUCAAA